RNAcentral lists this ribosomal RNA (486 nucleotides) under uncultured bacterium. RNAcentral describes it as "partial 16S ribosomal RNA". It matches the Rfam family "Bacterial small subunit ribosomal RNA", at positions 29 to 507 of the family's 1533-position model. The record is from RNAcentral.
AUUGAACGCUGGCGGCAUGCUUUACACAUGCAAGUCGAGCGGCAGCGCGGGGGCAACCCUGGCGGCGAGCGGCGAACGGGUGAGUAAUGCAUCGGAACGUAUCCUCUAGUGGGGGAUAACCCAGCGAAAGUUGGGCUAAUACCGCAUGAGCUCUGAGGAGGAAAGCGGGGGACCUGCGAGGGCCUCGCGCUGGAGGAGCGGCCGAUGUCCGAUUAGCUAGUUGGUGGGGUAAAGGCUUACCAAGGCGACGAUCGGUAGCUGGUCUGAGAGGAUGAUCAGCCACACUGGGACUGAGACACGGCCCAGACUCCUACGGGAGGCAGCAGUGGGGAAUGUUGGACAAUGGGGGCAACCCUGAUCCAGCCAUGCCGCGUGAGUGAAGAAGGCCUUCGGGUUGUAAAGCUCUUUCGGACGGAACGAAAUGGGCGGGACUAAUACUCCUGUCUGAUGACGGUACCGGAAGAAGAAGCACCGGCUAACUACGUG